GCUUACACAUGCAAGUCGAACGAUGAACCACUUCGGUGGGGAUUAGUGGCGAACGGGUGAGUAACACGUGGGCAAUCUGCCCUUCACUCUGGGACAAGCCCUGGAAACGGGGUCUAAUACCGGAUACCACUACCGCAGGCAUCUGUGGUGGUUGAAAGCUCCGGCGGUGAAGGAUGAGCCCGCGGCCUAUCAGCUUGUUGGUGAGGUAAUGGCUCACCAAGGCGACGACGGGUAGCCGGCCUGAGAGGGCGACCGGCCACACUGGGACUGAGACACGGCCCAGACUCCUACGGGAGGCAGCAGUGGGGAAUAUUGCACAAUGGGCGAAAGCCUGAUGCAGCGACGCCGCGUGAGGGAUGACGGCCUUCGGGUUGUAAACCUCUUUCAGCAGGGAAGAAGCGAAAGUGACGGUACCUGCAGAAGAAGCGCCGGCUAACUACGUGCCAGCAGCGCGGGUAAUACAAA
Molecule: ribosomal RNA, 465 nt
Filed under: Streptomyces canus
Lineage: Bacteria; Bacillati; Actinomycetota; Actinomycetes; Kitasatosporales; Streptomycetaceae
Description: bacterial SSU rRNA
Rfam family: Bacterial small subunit ribosomal RNA
Source: RNAcentral